GUGCUUGCUUGGGCAGCACUCAUAAUAAAACUGGAACACUACCCAAGAUGGUUAGCGCAGCCCAUGUGCAAGCAUAACACAACUUCAUGAAGCAUUCCAUAUUUUU
Small nuclear RNA from Ochotona princeps (American pika), 106 nucleotides. The record is from Ensembl. NCBI's taxonomy places the organism in Eukaryota, Metazoa, Chordata, Mammalia, Lagomorpha, Ochotonidae.